Molecule: ribosomal RNA, 253 nt
Filed under: uncultured bacterium
Lineage: Bacteria
Description: partial 16S ribosomal RNA
Rfam family: Bacterial small subunit ribosomal RNA
Source: RNAcentral
AACAUAGGUACCGAGCGUUAUCCGGAUUUACUGGGCGUAAAGCGUGUUCAGGCGGCCUGGCAAGUCGGGCAUGAAAUCUCUCGGCUCAACCGAGAGAGGCUGUCCGAUACUGCUGGGCUUGAGGACGGUAGAGGGUGGUGGAAUUCCGCGUGUAGUGGUGAAAUGCGUAGAUAUGCGGAGGAACACCAGUGGCGAAGGCGGCCACCUGGACCGUCCCUGACGCUCAAACACGAAAGCUAGGGUAGCGAACGGG